UAUUUCCCCUUCACUGAGUUCCUGGGAAGAGCGCGAUGAAAACUGACUCCCUCAUUGGCCUGACAGCAUUUGCUGAAUAAUUUCUGGAACACCUACGAAUCAUCAGGAGCCUAAACUGGUCACCACCCCUGCUGAGAGGGAAGGCAGCAAGCCCCCACUGUGGUAAGUUCUCUCCUUCUUGUCUUUUAAUGCCACUUCCGAAGCCCUCCUUGAUAUCACCCCAGCACCCCUUGAAAAACAUCCCUGGAGACUGAAGAGGAGGAUGACUUGCCCAGGGGACACCAAGGGGCUCCGUCCUGCCUGCCUGCCCUCAGACAGCAUUCCAGGUUCCGUGAGGACUGAGAUGUUGCACACAGUGUACUCAACCCUGACCCUGGCAUGUAGCAGAUACUCACACAAUGGAAAGCUAUUGCGUCUGCCUCUUCGCCCCACGUAAAGUGGGAAAGCCCCUCACUCUGGUUCCCGAAUUCAGUUCAAUGACCACACCGCGUCGUGGACCCUGCCUUCCCACUCAGACCUUGUGCUCUCCCUGUGAGCUUCCGGCAGCAAACGACAUCGAGUGCCUUCUACAUGUUGAGCCCUGCCCUGCCCUGGUAACAGCAGAAAUGACAAAGGCCCACUCAGAGGGAAAUAGGACAACCAUGUCCUCGGAGUGACACUCGACAAGCUGUACUGGGACCAAGCCCUGGCCCACUAUUGGUGCCUCUAGGGCACCAUCCACAUAGGAAGGGUUCAAUAAAUGCUGUUUCUCAAUCUCAGCUAAUUGCAUCCCUCAGUUCUAGGAUUACCAUCUGCUUCCUUUUCUGGGGGGAGGUAUGGUUUCUGCCAAAAGUUUCAGUCUUGUCUUUUAAAUCCUUGGACAUAGUAUUCAUGGUUCUUGUAAAGCCUAUGCCUGCUCAAGGCGUUAUCUGAAUCCCUGCUGCGUGUCCUUCUGGAAUCUGCUUCUGUCUGGUGCACAGGCUGUCUUGCGUAUGCCUGGCUGCUUUCUAUUGACUGCUGGGCACGGUAGUAUAACAAACACUGUAGAGGUCAUUUGAGGCUCUGGACAUAUUGUCUUUAUCUAGAGAUGAUUCCCUUUUGCUUCCCCUGGGCAGUGAGGCUGGGGGUGCUUCC
Molecule: long non-coding RNA, 1113 nt
Organism: Mustela erminea (ermine)
Lineage: Eukaryota; Metazoa; Chordata; Mammalia; Carnivora; Mustelidae
Exons: 4
Source: RefSeq, a predicted model, not a curated record